Long non-coding RNA from Mastomys coucha (southern multimammate mouse), 254 nucleotides. RefSeq lists it as uncharacterized. Lineage: Eukaryota; Metazoa; Chordata; Mammalia; Rodentia; Muridae. The transcript has 2 exons. The record is from RefSeq and is a predicted model, not a curated record.
CAGUAGUAAAACUGAAAAUGGAAAUAAGCAAGAAAAAAGCCAAAGGAAACCCCUGCUCUGAUAGCAAGUGUUCAGGAGGACCUAUGCAGAUAACUGUGUACUGCUGGCUUUGUGAACUCACAUGGAAUCAAUGAUUUUAAGAGAAUAACUGUACUUGAGGACUACAUAGUGAUUCUUCUGAUCUGAAACCAUCGUUCCCAGAAUUCUCCAUUUUGUUUGCUUUUCAGUGAUACUCAAUAUCACUCAGACCACAG